GUACUCACCUUGGCGGCACAUGUACUAAAAUCAAAAGAAUACAGUGAAGAUUGGCAUAGCAUAGCCCCCAAAUAAGGGUGAUAUGGAAUUUGUAAAGAAUUUCAUAUUUUUU
This is a small nuclear RNA of Otolemur garnettii (small-eared galago), 112 nucleotides long. NCBI's taxonomy places the organism in Eukaryota, Metazoa, Chordata, Mammalia, Primates, Galagidae. The record is from Ensembl.